Molecule: long non-coding RNA, 1106 nt
Filed under: Meriones unguiculatus (Mongolian gerbil)
Lineage: Eukaryota; Metazoa; Chordata; Mammalia; Rodentia; Muridae
Description: lncRNA (ENSMUGG00000009478.1)
Source: RNAcentral
AGCCCAGGGCGCGUGACGACCCCAGCGCGUCCCGCCCCCGCGCACCGCGGGAGGACCCGGAGCCCCCGGGGUGCCGCCGAGCCCCAGCGCCCCGCGGGUCCCACGGGUCCGCCACUCCACGUGGUGAGGAUCAACAGUUUGCCGAGCUCAUCAGUGACACCUUGAACUUUUCCUACCGAAAGCGGGUACUGCAGCGGGAGGCUCGGCGGCGGCCGCGCGCAGGGUCGCGCUCGGGGCGUUUCGGGGACCUCUCGCCCGCGCCUCCCCCCACAUCCCCUCGCGGAGAUCCCGUCCAGCCCGGCCCCGGAGCAGACUUUCAAGUCCAUUCACUGCCCCCCCCCAAAAAAAAGCCCCCGUCCGGCCACUCAUCGGAGCUUUCAGGGGCGCCUCCCCCCCACCCAAUCCCGGCCCGCAGCUCCCUCCUAAAAAAAAAAAAAAAAAAAAAAAAAAAAAUGACAUUUUGCGGGCGCCCGCCGAGGGGCCUGAGUCUCACUUUGUAACUUUCUGCGGAACCCGAGCCCGGUGGCAGCUCCGGCGGUGGUAUCGUAUGCAAAUACGCAUGCUGACGUUACAGAUCAUGUGGGUUUUGGCGUAGAUUACCCACUGAUCGAGGCAUUUCCCCCCCCUUUUUUCUUUUUUUUUUUUCUUUUCUUUUUUUUUUCUUUUUCUCUUUCUUUUUCCUUUUCUUCUUUCUUUCUUUCUUUUUUUUUUUUCUUUCCUGCUUUGAAAAAAUUUCCUGCCAGCCGUCCUCCGCACGGGGGGUCUUCAGGGUGUCUGUCUGUCUGUCUGCCAGGCUGGCUUUCCCCCACCACCGCCACCUCUUUCCCACGGAGCCCGAGCCGGGCGCCGGGUGGGGAGUGGGGAGUGGGUGGGGGGAGCCAGCGGAGUUCCAUUUUGGAACGCUCGCGCCCGGUCUCCGCGUUCCCAGCCCGGGUCCCCGCGUUCCCAGCCCCGGCACAGGCCUCCAUGCACUGGCUGCUCUGGGACUCCCACUGCUGGAUUCCCAGGAUGUAAGCAACAUGCGACAGACACUGGUGCCUGCCCAUACACACGUCCAGACCGAAACACAUACAUACAAAUGAAAUAAAAUCACAGAAGCACAUCCA